This is a long non-coding RNA of Marmota monax (woodchuck), 6701 nucleotides long. RefSeq lists it as uncharacterized. The record is from RefSeq and is a predicted model, not a curated record. Lineage: Eukaryota; Metazoa; Chordata; Mammalia; Rodentia; Sciuridae. The transcript has 2 exons.
CCCGCAGCAGCCAUGUUCCCAGUGUCAGCUCCAAGUGUCAGCAUGAGGUGUCCGCUGGGAAUGGGCAGGAGAAACGGGUCUGUCCCCUGAAGGCUGGGGACAGGAGAUCUGUUGCUGUGACGAUUUUCCUGGGCAAGGCUCGUGUGUGGUGAGUGAGCAGAGGCGUGCGUGCUCCUGGGCUCCACCCCAGGUGACAAGAACGGAGUUACUCAGAGCACAGCCUGCUCUCCACAGAACCUGGCCUGGGCCCCUCCAGCAGCUAUGGGUCAGCAUCUGCUCGGUCGGUGUUUGAAGACCCUUACGGCCCACAGCCACGGCAAAUGAGCAGAACAAGCACUCUGCGGGAAACAGAGGACAGGGAGGAAAUCGGAACCCAGCUCUCGCCCCGUCGCUAGGGACCCCUGGCUUGCGUUUGUCAUGACUUAAAGGGAGACCAUGCAGAGCUCUGUCCCCCGCCAGGUAACUGGUGCAGGCAUUUUGUCGGUGGCAUUUCUGUUGGGCUCCUGCGGCGGCUGAGCCCCUGAGGCCAGAGUGGCCUGCUGCUGUUUGCAGGGCGCUGGUCCCGAGGCUGUUCUGGCUCAGAAGCCCUUGGUGAUGUGUGCUGGGGAGAUGGGGGCUGGGGAGAGGUCUCCAGCUGGGCCCUUGUUCCCCCUGCACCCUGCUGGACGCAGCAGAGCAGAAGCAGCUCCGACCGCUGACGGCUGAAGUUUUUCACCUGGCAAAGCCAGUUAUGCCCUGUGCUGCACACGACAGCCCCACCACACGACGGCUCCCACAGCCCCCCGUACCCAUGAACCACCUAGGUGGUUCCAGCCCAGGGCAGCUUGGCCUCAGGGUGCAACACCCCCAGCUGCUCCACAAUGGGCGACUUGCUUCACUGUGUCCAGGGGGCGCUGCAUCUCUGGAUCCCACUGACCACAGUCCAGGAGCCGGACUUCCCGACUCGGAUCCUGGCUCGGCGGCUUCCUGGCUGGCUGGAAUGUGAGCUAGGACUGCAGGCACUGUGAUGGGCUUGGACUGGUGGCCCCAACGCCUGGACCAGGGCUUGACUCAUUAUAGAUACUGGAGAAACAUUCUUCACUGUGUGAAGUGACAUCCGGGCAAAUGCGGGCGGGACACGGGAGGAAUGCCCGUCAGCGUGAUUGGCCCGGAACCUGCCUGUGGGUGGGUUGGUGGGUCUAGAGACACCCGUGGCCCCGCUUCUGCCUGUCAGGGGUCUCUCAUUAUAACAAAUACCCGAGACAGUUGGCUUAUAGAGGAAAGGGUUACCUGCUCACAGUUCGGGAGGUUCCAGUCCACCUCUGACUCGCUCUGCUGUUUGGGCUCUGCUGUGGCGCCAGGGAGCCUGCUCAGCACGGGUGUGAGAGAAAGAGGGUCCCAGAGCCCCUUCAAGGGCGCGCCCCAUGACCUAAGACCUCCCAGGAGGCCCCCUCUUAAACGUUCCACCCCCUCCUGACUGUGGCAGGACAGACCAGGCCUUCCCACAUGGGUUGAGGUCGUGGGUCGUGGGGGAACACCGCAGAUCCUGACCACAGCAGCCGUUUUAGUGUAGUUCCAGUCCUGACCCCUCCCGCAGAGGAAAAGGGGAAACUCGGGGAGGGCCGGGGUCAGGCCCUACAGGGGUUUUGUGUUUCUCAGAGGAAUUCUGGGUCUGCUUCCUCUUUGCAGGGGUCCUUCCCUGGAGGAGGGGUGGGUGGCCCUGCCCUCUCUUUGGAAACCCUAGGAGGAUCUGGAAGCCCGGGUGGUGGGAGGCUCCUCUGCUCCGGGGUUUCUUUGUUCUGUGAUUUGGAGCUGGCAGCCGCCCCACAAGCCGCAGACCGUGAAGGCUGCGGCUGCUCAGACAGGCUGUGGUCAGCACAGACAAGAAGGUCCCGGGCAGCCCGUCUGGCGUCUGGGAGUCAGACCCGCUAGCCUCCGGGGCUGCCUGGGGCAGAGCUGGGGCCGUGAGCCCCCCUUUGAGGCUUGUGUGGCGUGGAGUCUGGUAGCUGGGGGCUGUUUCGGGAGUUUGUGGAGAGCCUUGGGUGCCCACGGGAGCCACUCCAGGCCCAUCCCACGAGCUGUGGGCCAGCAGCCUCCUCCACUGCAGGUGCCAGGGCCACCCGGGCACGGAGGCUGGCCUCGCCCCCCACUGGGGGCUGCUUCCUUGACACAGUGAGGUCCUCUCUGAGGUCUGCCCCGUAGGCCUGGGAGUGUGUUACAUGAGGCACGGCUAUCACCGGGGUGGCCAGUCUCAGGAGGCAAGGGGGUCCUGCCUGCUCUCAGCUGGGCAGGCAGAACCCUCCACCCAGCCACGCCUCCCCACGAGGGUCAGGGCUUGCAGCAGAGGAAGAAGUCCACAGAGAAGCCAAGGUGGCUCUCAGGCCACAGUGCCUUCCCAUCUGCCGGAGACCCCCGGAAAUACCCCUGGAAAUGCCCCUGGAUGCCCUCUCAGUGGCAAAGGGACCCCCAGAACGAGGCAGCUCUGCUGGCGGCUGUUACCCGGUUCAGCUUUGCUUCCUCAGGAGCAUUCUCAGCCGGGGUGGUGGGGUGGCAGCCGGUCCGCCUGCUCAGCCUGCCCACAGGGUUGUCACCCAGCCAGAACGAGGCCAUGUUGGCCAAUGUCCUUUCCAAAGUGCAGGUUGUGAUGUCCACAACUAGUGGGGCAAUUGGAGGCAGCAGAGGACUGAGCUUCAGGAGUGGGCAGAGCUGGCCCCCAAAUAAAGUGAAACCGCGAGGCUCCCCGGCCUGCAGCUUCGGGGCCGAAGCCCCAGAGCCCGAAUCUUCUGAGCUGUGCUUCUCCUGUGGGGCCAUCCAUCCGCCAAAGGGUGGACGGAGCGAGGCCUUCCCUGCCCUUCUCCAUAAAUACUCAAUGACAAGCUCCCAGGCCAGUCAGUGCCCGUGUCACCUGGCGGAAGGUAACGGGGCUUGGCGGCAGAGAGGCUUUAGGGCCUCUCACCGACAGGACAUGCCAGCCAGAGAAGCAGGGCCCACAGAGGCUAUGGCGGCUUCAGCAGCAGCGCUGGGGGGCGGCCAGAGACUGGGGUCCAGAGCUGGAGCCGUGCUGGACCAAAUGCAGGGAAGGCAGGCAGGGAUGGCACUGAGGGGCCCCGUCACCGGUGUGGGCCACUGGAGGCAGACAGCCUGGGGCUCCAGGGCCCUACGAAGUGACUGUCACUUCUGGCUGGUUGGGACUCACAGUCUAGGAAGUGUGCAGUGGACUGGGACACUCACCUUUAGGUGGCUUUGGUGCAGCGCUGACUGGUGAGCGUCCCUCGGCCCUGCCCCUCACCCUUUGGCUCUUGUGAUGAAAUUGGAGGCAUCUCCGGUUUUUAAAUUUUGUCAGUAGUAAGAGAUGUGACGAAGGUAAGGAUCUUGAGAGGGGGUCUGUCCAGGGGGCCCUGAAGGCUACCACUGCGUCCUUAUAAGAGAGGUAGCAGAGAUGACCCCACACAGAGGAGCUGGCCAUGCAAAAACAGAGGAGGGCCACUGCCAAGGAACGGAGGGAGGGUCCCCCCCUCAGAGCCUGCAGGGGGAGCAAGCCCUGCUGCCGCCUGAUUUUGGAUUUCUGCCUCUGGAGCAAUGCUGCUGUGUGAAGCCACCCGUUUGUGGCACUUGGUCCAGUGCCCCAGGGCUAGGUACAGGAGCUCUGAUCUUUGGACUUUGAAUUGGUCCUUUCCUACUUAGACGUCACCCUGACCUCCUGUCCCCCUGGCCAAGAGCACUCUAGGAGUGUCUUCCCUGCCUCCCCCAAUGUCCCAUCUCCCUGGAAGCCCCUUCCCUUGGCCUCAGCAAGCACUGUUACUGGGCCCCCCCUCCAGGGUCAGCUUGAACUAUGGGGUGCAGCCUGAGAACCUUACUGGGGCCUGAGCCCAGGCCAGCUACACUUGCCCAUGGGAACAGGGAAUCCACGGUGGGUGGUCCUUCAGCUCAGAGCGGAGUGCCACCUACCUGGCCUGCGUUUCCCAAGCCUCUGUGCCUCAGCAGGCAGCAGGCACCCAUCAGGGGACACUGCGUGCCAGUGAGGAGUUGCUGACGUCGACGCCCAUGUUUGAUCUUUCUGGACUUUCUGAAGUGCUGCCGAGCCCCUGAUCAACUCAAACACACAGAAGAUGGGGCCCUCUUCCCUACCUUUGAUCUCUAGAAGUGAAAAACCCCUGAGUAGCCAGGAAACACAUUUGUUUCAUGAUUCUCACUUGCGUGUGAGAAUCAUUGUUUGUCCAAGGAGGGUGACCAUGGCUGAGGUCCAGGUAAGAUGGCAUCGGGCCGCGGAACAAGGCGGAACAAAGCCGCAGCUGGGCCAGCAGCCUCAGGGCCCGAGGCUUUAAUCCAUUGGCACAGGGAGAAUGGCCUCUUCCCCCCUCCCUCCAGCGGUCUGUCUCCCUGAGAGGAGUACAUUUGCCACUGGAUUCCAGCCGUCCUCGGCUGCUCUGCGUGGGAACACCUUCCUAAGCCAGCUGAUCCAGGCGAAGCUUCAGGAGAGAACAUCCCCCGGCCCCGGGUCCCGCGUGGGAACAGGCGUACGUUUCCAUCGCGCGAGGUUUCCGACGUCACAGCUUACGGUGAUCUACAGGAAUCAAGACAGAGGGGUAUUGGCAGAGAGACAGACGCACGGGUCAGCAGAACAGAACAGAGAACCCAGAAAUACGCCCAACUGGUUUUUGACAAAGACGCAAAGCGCUUCAACGUGAGAGUGAGUGAUGGUGUCGGAGCCGAUACCCCACAUGCACAGAACGGCCCUGGACGAAGGGCCGGCUUUUAUAGGAGUCUACUCAAGAUGGUCGCAGAUUGACUGCAAGGCACCAACUAGAAGACUCUGAAAAAAUCCACAGACAAUCUGCAGGAUCUAAGUUGGAUGGCCGAGGAGGUGUUAUACAACACCAGUUUCCCCAAGAGGAGAGAUGGAGGACAGCGCCAUUGUUAUUAGAAGCCUUUGCUCUGAGAAAACUCCUGUGCAGAGGAGACAGGGUGAGUCACAGACUGAGGGAAAGUGUCCACGCACCACCCCUCCAACAAAGGACAAGGGACUCUCCAAGGCAGCAGCCGAAACCAAACCAUCCAGUCAGAACCUGGGCAAGACCCUGAGCUCACUAGAGGGGGAGUUCUGAGGACCACCGUCACCUGGAAAGGCGGUCAAUGCCAUCAGAGUCGGGAAAUCAAUACCCGGGGAAAUGCUGCCUAGCGGCUCCCGGGACAGCUGACGUGGCAGCAGCAGAUGCCCACCGCGUGUGGGGACACGGGAUCAGCCUCUGUUGCCAGGGGAAGUGCCUCUGCCCUGGAGUGGAGUUUGGCAGCUUCUCAGAAGACCAGACCUGCGCUUGCCACAUGACCUGCUGAUUCCUCGGCUGGGCAAGCGUCCCAGGGAAACGCAGAACGUGCUCAUAUGAAACCUGCAUGCACCUGCUCAGAGCAACUGUAUUCAUGAUCACCCCCAACUGGAAGCAGCCCUGAUGUCCUUCAAGAAGGUCAACGGUUGACCAAAAGAUGGUGGGCCCGUAUCUUGGAACACUGAGGGACAGACUAUGAAAAAUGCCAGGACGUAGGUGAACCCCUGAGGUAUAUGCAGAGUGGGAAAAAAAAAAAACGUCUCCAAGGCUUCCGCACAGUACUAUUCCACUUAGCAUUUUUGAAAGGGCGAAAUUAUAGAGAUGGAGAACAGAUCAGCGGGUGCCAGAGUCCGGGGGAGGCUCUGUGGCUGGGGCGGGCGGCACCAGGCCUUGUGCUGGAGCCGUGGCGGAUCUGACUGGCGGGGUCACACGGUCUGCAAUGUGAUGGAGUCCCAGAGAGCCCAAGUCACACAGGCAGACACCAGUGCACAUGAGGUAGGGGCAUCUGUGUAAGACCAGAGAGCUCUGCCCACGUCCACUUCUUCAACCCAGAACCUCUGGGCGCCUCAGGAAGAGAGAGAUGACUGCAGAUCUCGGAAGAUUGCCAUCGGGGCCUCGCUGGGAUCAGCAGGCCUUCCGGACCCCUGUGCUGCCACUGGGGGUGCUGACAGCUGGGCACAAAGCAAGUGACCCAGAGGAAGUCCACGGGCUUGGCAUGGAGGCCUGUGGACAGCCACUGUCCCUGUCACAAGGCUUCACAAAGAUGGAGGGAGGAGUGGGGCUGGGAAGGGACUUCACAAUGCCUGGUGUGGUCCCAGGAGACCCCAGAGGCCUCAGCUCGGGACUGGAGACUCCGCUAGAGGAGUCAGAGCACUCUUCCCGCCAGGAGGGGAGUCCGAGCUGGGCCCAGUGCAAUGCUAUUUGCAGGGAGUGGUCACCCGGGGGCAAGGAGAGGGCUGGAGCAGAGGUCCCUGCUUAUGCUCCUUCUGUCCUCUCGGUCCAGGGACACCUGCAGUGUGUGCUGAGCACAGAGGCCGGGCAAGCGCAAUGGAGAGAGAGGAGGCCAGUCCUCACCAUCCAGUGGCUCCUUACAGCCCCACGGUGCUAACAGUUGCUGUGAAUGUGGAUUUUCUUCCCUGCUUUCCCCCAUUGUACCAUACACAACGUGGGAUUCCUCUUGACAUUUCAUAAACGCUCCCAGAGGAACGAACCACCCAGACCCCCGCCCCGUUCCCGGGUCCUCUAUGCACUGGCCUCCCUUUGCUCUACACAGGACCACUCCCCCUCCCCCUUAUUCCUCUUUAGCUUCCACACAUGAGAGAAAGCUUCAUCCAUUUUCCUGCAAAUGACACGGUUUCAUCGUUCUUUGUGGCUGAAUAAAGCUCCAUUGUGUAUAUA